Molecule: unclassified non-coding RNA, 236 nt
Filed under: fungal sp.
Lineage: Eukaryota; Fungi
Description: partial internal transcribed spacer region
Source: RNAcentral
AAGUCGUAACAAGGUUUCCAGGUGAACCUGCGCAACCUGUGAACUUUCAGCUUGCUCCUGUAGCCCGUGAAAGCAGCAAUCUGGUAAAUCAUUGUUACGGUUGAGCGAUUGCAUGGCAUCCCCAAGGAAUCAGUGAAAGGAUGGCUCUGCGACAACUACAGUCUAACUUCGCCGCGCGUGAAAUUCGCACGGCACCAAAAACCGAACAACUGUUAACAAUGGAUAUCUUGGUUCUC